Molecule: ribosomal RNA, 444 nt
Filed under: Mycoplasmopsis bovirhinis
Lineage: Bacteria; Bacillati; Mycoplasmatota; Mycoplasmoidales; Metamycoplasmataceae
Description: bacterial LSU rRNA
Rfam family: Bacterial large subunit ribosomal RNA
Source: RNAcentral
CCUGUACUACCUUGUUAUAGUGAUGGAGUAACGGAGAAGGAUAACACUACCUAUUAAUGGAUUUAGGGGUAAAUAGUAACUGGUGAAUAUAGUUAAAUGCGUAUUCUAAUACCGGGAGCUAUGAUGCAUAGGUCUUAGGACUCAAUUGUGUGAUUUCAUACUUCCAAGAAAAGCUUCUAAACGUUUAAAUAACAGGGUACCUGUACCGAGAACGGACACACGUUCCCAAGAUGAGUAUUCUAAGGCGAGCGAGAAAACCAAUGUUAAGGAACUCUGCAAAUUAACCCCGUAAGUUCGCGAAAAGGGGUGCCAACUGUAACAAGUUGGCCACAGUAAAUUGUGAGGGGCAACUGUUUAUCAAAAACACAGCUCUCUGCUAAACCGCAAGGUGAUGUAUAGGGGGUGAAGCCUGCCCAGUGCCCGAAGGUUAAGUGGAUGCGUUAG